UUUUUGAAUAAUAAUUUAAAGUUUAAUCUGCCCAGUGUAGCAAUAAAUGGCCGCGGUAUUUUGACCGUGCAAAGGUAGCGUGAUAAUUAGUUUUCUUAAUUAGGAUCUGGUAUGAAUGAUUGGACGAGAGAGUUUCUGUCUCAAGGGGAUUAAUUUUGAAUUUAAUUUUUAAGUAAAAAAGCUUAAAUUUUUGUAAAAGACGAGAAGACCCUAUAGAGUUUUAAUUUGUGAGUGAUGAAGUUAUUUUUAGUAUAAUUAAAGUUUUAUUAUUUAUUUUUUUUGGUUGGGGUGAUAAAAAGAUUAGUAGAACUCUUUUUUAAUUAAACAAUGAUUUUUGAUUGUUCGAUCUAUUUUAAUAAUUUAUAGAUUAAAUUACCUUAGGGAUAACAGCGUAAUUUUUAAGAAAGUUCAUAUUUAAAUAAAAGAUUGCGACCUCGAUGUUGGAUUAAAAUAUUAUUUCUGGUGCAGAAGCU
Molecule: ribosomal RNA, 473 nt
Filed under: Dromaeolus sp. 1 VV-2007
Lineage: Eukaryota; Metazoa; Arthropoda; Insecta; Coleoptera; Eucnemidae
Description: partial 16S ribosomal RNA
Source: RNAcentral